Molecule: long non-coding RNA, 1892 nt
Filed under: Marmota monax (woodchuck)
Lineage: Eukaryota; Metazoa; Chordata; Mammalia; Rodentia; Sciuridae
Source: RNAcentral
CUCAGGGACAGACAGAAUUCCUUGAACUAGCUACAAAGAUACGCAGUCACAGGAGUGUCCCCUUCUCUCCAGAUAGAGAAGCCAUUGAGAACAGGAUGUGCUGCAUUCUUUGGGUACACCAUGAACAAAAAGGUUAUACUGUGAACUUAAUGGACCUAAACAUUAACUGGUAAUUGAGAAGAGGGCUAGGCAUACCAAGGAUGCUCAGUCCAAGUUCUCAGGGCCUUUAAUAUAUACAAGAAUGAUAAAAAUAGGGGAGGGGGAAGUGGUAAAGGAGAAAAACAUGCAAACUGCGAGUAGAUAAGUGUCACCUCAAAACUUAUGGUCAAGACCAAAUAGCAUUCAAUAAAAUUGAAAUGUUGGGCUGGGGAUGUGGCUCAAGCAGUAGCGCACUCGCCUGGCAUGCGUGCCGCCCGGGUUCGAUCCUCAGCACCACAUACAAAGAUGUUGUGUCCGCCGAAAACUAAAAAAUAAAUAUUAAAAUUCUCUCUCUCUCUCUCUCUCUCUCUCUCUCUCUCUCUCUCUCUCUCUCUUUAAAAAAAAUUGAAAUGUUAUUUUGUGCUUAAGGAAUAAAGUUGAACAAAAGGUCAAAAGACGGAAAAUAAAUUUAUCUGGGACUUGAACAGUCUAAGCAACAGAUUCUAUGUUGUCAUUUGAGAUAACACUUGCCAGAUUAUAUUAAGGUUCACUAAAAGUUGUUCUCCAAGUUGACAAAGUAACCAAGUCUUUUUUCUAGGCUUUUCUUUCUUUUCUUUUGUUUUUGUUCAUUUGUUUUACCUGCAGACUUUUGAUGGCUGGAUUGAGAAGAUAGUAAAUAAGAAAACAUGUAUAAAAUCAGAUAAUUCUGGCUCCCUUUGGGUGUCAUUGCUAAUGGGUGAUAAACAAUUCAGGCCUUCUCUUUCUCCAUUUGGAAAACAUUGACUUGGUAUUAGUUUGCCAGUGCUGCCAUAACACAGUACCACAGACUAGGUGGCUUCAGCAGUGGAGAGUUAUUUUCAUAGAGUUCUGAAGACUAGAAUCUUGAGACCAAGGGGUGAGCAAAGUUGGUUUCUCUUAAGGAAUUCCUCUAUGGCUUUUAGAAAGCCAUCUUGUCCUAAUGUCAUCUUAAAAAGACAUCAGCCAUAUCCAACUAAGGCCACUAUAGCUCUUUUAAACUUAAUUGCCUCUUUAAAGGGAUCUCUAAAUACAGCCACAUUCUGAGGACUGGGGAUUAGGAAUAUAAAUUUGGGGGUGGGGAAAACAAAUUCAUCCCAUAACAGUCUUUGAGGAAGUAGAGACAAGAUGAAAAUUUUUAGAGGGAUCUUUAAUCCACUUCACAUUCUCCCAUACCCUGAGGACUCUGUGGAGGACAAAGAUUCCCAGCUUCUCCUGUGGCCAGGGAUGAUUCUUAAUUUGAAAAUCCAUAGUUGGGUCUAGGAUUUGGCCUCGGGGUUCUUUGUGGAAAGUCAAGCAAUGAUCAGAGGGAAUUUACAGCAGUGUUUCCUCUCUCUUCUAUGUCAAAACUAUAGUUUCUAAGUGGACAUUAUAACUGCUCUCACACACAUACUAGUACAGCUGUAUUUUGGAGGUGUCAAUAUCAUUUAAUUACAAAAUACAAAAUAUUUACACUUUUUAUCUCAAUUUUCUAAAAUGUGAUGCACAUGCCAUUGGCAAUACCUGAGACAUUAUUGUGUGGCACAUAAGCAGAGUGUUAAGUAGCAUUAAAUCAAAUAGUGAGGAAGUUAUUUCCUUGCACUAUUUUUAGUUCUUUUGGUUAAACCAAAAAGAAUGUGUCAUAUUGGAAUUAAUAUCCCUUAAACACUUGACAGAGAGCAGACCUUAGGUCAGAGACUUUAGCAAACAAAAAUAUUCAUCUAGAGCCUAAUAGCAUUGUUUAGUCUCUGUUAUAGUUA